AACGAACGCUGGCGGCAUGCCUAACACAUGCAAGUCGAACGAGACCUUCGGGUCUAGUGGCGCACGGGUGCGUAACGCGUGGGAAUCUACCCUCAGGUUCGGAAUAACUCAGAGAAAUUUGAGCUAAUACCGGAUGAUGACGUAAGUCCAAAGAUUUAUCGCCUGAGGAUGAGCCCGCUUAGGAUUAGGUAGUUGGUGAGGUAAAGGCUCACCAAGCCGACGAUCCUUAGCUGGUCUGAGAGGAUGAUCAGCCACACUGGGACUGAGACACGGCCCAGACUCCUACGGGAAGCAGCAGUGGGGAAUAUUGGACAAUGGGCGAAAGCCUGAUCCAGCAAUGCCGCGUGAGUGAUGAAGGCCUUAGGGUUGUAAAGCUCUUUUACCCGGGAUGAUAAUGACAGUACCGGGAGAAUAAGCUCCGGCUAACUCCGUG
This 433-nucleotide ribosomal RNA is filed under the name uncultured bacterium. RNAcentral's name for it is "partial 16S ribosomal RNA". It matches the Rfam family "Bacterial small subunit ribosomal RNA", at positions 29 to 507 of the family's 1533-position model. The record is from RNAcentral.